Microtus ochrogaster (prairie vole) is the source of this 418-nucleotide long non-coding RNA. RefSeq lists it as uncharacterized. NCBI's taxonomy places the organism in Eukaryota, Metazoa, Chordata, Mammalia, Rodentia, Cricetidae. The transcript is spliced from 3 exons. The record is from RefSeq and is a predicted model, not a curated record.
UCAUUAGUCCUUAUUUUCUGCUCACUUUGAAUGCACACACUCCUUCACUUAGAGCCCAGGAGUGCUAAUAAAAGCAUCAGCAGUGUGGGUUCUCUCCAGCCGGGUCUGGCUUUAGUUCAGGUCUCACAGUAGGUGAACAAAAGCCCGGCUGUACAAUUGCCCAGACUAGGCAGACUGCUCCUCAGUUUUGCAGGAGUCGGAGCUGUGGAAAGCAGCAAAGACAGGGAUUGUUGGAUUCCCAGCAUUGUACCUCCGAGGAACCUGAUCCUGUGUUCUAUUCAGCAAGUAGGAUCCUGCUACUGAAGGCUUUAUAAUUCUGUAAUGGUCUCUGUUUGUUGCAAAAUGAAGCUUCUCUCCUAAAAAAUGUCUGGCAGUGUCUUCUAUGAAGCAAGAACACUGAAGGAUCAUUCAUCUUUUA